GAUGAACGCUGGCGGCGUGCCUAAUACAUGCCAGUCGAGCGAACAGAUGAGGAGCUUGCUCCUCUGACGUUAGCGGCGGACGGGUGAGUAACACGUGGAUAACCUACCUAUAAGACUGGGAUAACUUCGGGAAACCGGAGCUAAUACCGGAUAAUAUAUUGAACCGCAUGGUUCAAUAGUGAAAGACGGUUUUGCUGUCACUUAUAGAUGGAUCCGCGCCGCAUUAGCUAGUUGGUAAGGUAACGGCUUACCAAGGCAACGAUGCGUAGCCGACCUGAGAGGGUGAUCGGCCACACUGGAACUGAGACACGGUCCAGACUCCUACGGGAGGCAGCAGUAGGGAAUCUUCCGCAAUGGGCGAAAGCCUGACGGAGCAACGCCGCGUGAGUGAUGAAGGUCUUCGGAUCGUAAAACUCUGUUAUUAGGGAAGAACAAAUGUGUAAGUAACUAUGCACGUCUUGAUGGUACCUAAUCAGAAAGCCACGGCUAACUACGUG
Molecule: ribosomal RNA, 497 nt
Filed under: uncultured bacterium
Lineage: Bacteria
Description: partial 16S ribosomal RNA
Rfam family: Bacterial small subunit ribosomal RNA
Source: RNAcentral